Molecule: ribosomal RNA, 468 nt
Filed under: uncultured bacterium
Lineage: Bacteria
Description: partial 16S ribosomal RNA
Rfam family: Bacterial small subunit ribosomal RNA
Source: RNAcentral
GACGAACGCUGGCGGCGUGCCUAACACAUGCAAGUCGAACGGAAAGGCGCUGCUUUUGCGGGGUGCUCGAGUGGCGAACGGGUGAGUAACACGGGAGUAACCCGCCCUUGACUUUGGGAUAACUUCAGGAAACCGGGGCUAAUACCGGAUAGGAGCUCCUGCUGCAGGGGGGGGGUCGGAAAGUUUCGGCGGUUGGGGAUGGACGCGCGGCUUAUCAGCUUGUUGGUGGGGUAGUGGCUUACCAAGGCAUUGACGGGUAGCCGGCCUGGGAGGGUGACCGGCCACAUUGGGACUGAGAUACGGCCCAGACUCCUACGUGAGGCAGCAGUGGAGAAUAUUGCACAAUGGGCGGACGCCUGAUGCAGCAACGCCGCGUGCGGGAUGACGGCCUUCGGGUUGUAAACCGCUUUCGCCUGUGACGAAGCGUGAGUGACGGUAAUGGGUAAAGAAGCACCGGCUAACUACGUG